Long non-coding RNA from Peromyscus californicus insignis, 936 nucleotides. RefSeq lists it as uncharacterized. The record is from RefSeq and is a predicted model, not a curated record. Lineage: Eukaryota; Metazoa; Chordata; Mammalia; Rodentia; Cricetidae. The transcript has 3 exons.
UCCUCCAGUGUCUCCCCCGGCGCCUGCACCACCAGUGAACUCGCCCCCUAUCGUCAUCGUCUGCUGCUGCACCUGCUGCAACGUGUGUGUGAGCAGAGGCACAGAGGGCAAUGUGACCAUGUGCAACUUCAAUCCCCUAAGCUGCCACCAAUUGCCACUGACUUGGUCUCAGUCUAGUGACCAGGGCCAGUGCACCAACCUGGACCUCCCGAAGACCCUCUGCUCUCACGUUUCCUGCACCUCCAUGGCCAGCUUGCCCCCAGGCCAGGAGUGCUUGCCCCUGGCCUCCUGUUCUUAGUGCCAUCAUCUCCCCGACGGUUGUCCCCAGCCACUUCCUUUGCUCCCUCCCUCCAGGAGCCCCACUGUCUCUCCCUCCCAAGUAGCAGACCUCUCAGACACCACAGAGCCAAAAUGGAGAGGAUUUUGCUGCUAAAUUGGACCCAGAUAUCUGUUCUUGGAUUUUAAUUUUUAAAGAGUUGGAGUUUGUCGCUUAUUAGGAAGUUUGUCAUCCAAAGAUAAAUCUCAGAUGUGUUUCUGUUGCAUCCAGAAGUACAAAACUUCCUGGGGCCAUGUGGCUAGGCAUGGAUGAGUCCUACCACUUCAUCACCGACACACAGGUUCUUAGGUCAAGCUCUCUCUGAAGAGCAAUCCCAAAUUCAUGCUGACUGGUCCCGAGUAAGUUUAAUGGUUGCCGAGGCACACCUGGGGCUACAGGUGUGUACCACUGCACCGAUCUCUUCAUGAAGAUGCUGGGGACCCCAAACUCAGGUCCCCGUACCUGCACGCCAAGCACUAACUGAAGUGCAUUAACUUUCUAGCCCCCUAGUUAACCAUUCGUUUUGUUCUUUAUAUAGGUUCUGUUUUGCAAAGAAGUUUCAAGUCAUGUAUAUACAGAGAUUUUAACAAAGGCCAGAGUGCUCAUACCACACUGUCAGA